GAUGAACGCUAGCGAUAGGCUUAACACAUGCAAGUCGAGGGGCAGCAUGGUCUUAGCUUGCUAAGACUGAUGGCGACCGGCGCACGGGUGCGUAACGCGUAUGCAACUUGCCUCACAGAGGGGGAUAACCCGUCGAAAGACGGACUAAUACCGCGUACACUUGGGAUAGGGCAUCCUGACCCAAGGAAAUGAAAUUCGCUGUGAGAUAGGCAUGCGUCCCAUUAGCUAGUUGGUGAGGUAACGGCUCACCAAGGCGACGAUGGGUAGGGGAACUGAGAGGGUGAACCCCCACACUGGUACUGGGACACGGACCAGACUCCUACGGGAGGCAGCAGUGAGGAAUAUUGGUCAAUGGGCGAGAGCCUGAACCAGCCAAGUCGCGUGAAGGAUGACUGUCUUAUGGAUUGUAAACUUCUUUUAUACGGGAAUAACAAGAGCCACGUGUGGCUCCCUGCAUGUACCGUAUGAAUAAGCAUCGGCUAACUACGUG
Molecule: ribosomal RNA, 490 nt
Filed under: uncultured bacterium
Lineage: Bacteria
Description: partial 16S ribosomal RNA
Rfam family: Bacterial small subunit ribosomal RNA
Source: RNAcentral